Molecule: long non-coding RNA, 385 nt
Filed under: Fukomys damarensis (Damara mole-rat)
Lineage: Eukaryota; Metazoa; Chordata; Mammalia; Rodentia; Bathyergidae
Description: lncRNA (ENSFDAG00000033454.1)
Source: RNAcentral
UGAUAUAGCUCCCAAUUUAAAUUAACUACCUCUCCUUUUUGAUUUAUGAACAGGAAAAAAGCUUUGACUGUUAGGCACCUGGAUGAAGAGGCUUGGGUUCACAUUAUCAUUCUCCAGUAACCUGGAAGGACCCUCCAGUUGUGCCAGAAUCAUUCAACUGAAGUAUUAUCUCUGUUUAUAAAGAAUAAGACUUCCUGCCUCACAAGCACAAGGACCCAAGUUCGAUCCCGAUCCUCGGUCCCAAAAAUAAGUAAGUAAAUAAAUAAACAAACAAAAAAUAUAUAUAAAGAAUAAGAAACAAGAACCAGAGAAGUGAACUAAAGUGUUCAAAGAUACACUGAAAGGACAUAAUAGUCAGGACUUAAAUCCACAUUUCUAUAGCUCC